CUGUUGUGCUUGUCUGACUGUGUACCCAACCUAAUAGUUUGAGGGACAGACUGGUAUUUGCAUAAUUCUGCAGUAUGACAGGCGAACAGAUCACUGAAAACAUAAAUAUGGAAUGGCUUACAUUGAAAGCUCCUGUCCAACAUCUUGUCCGAGAUAGUGGCUUUCCUUGUUCAGCAUAGAAAUUUACACCCAAGAGAAGAUUAUAAGAACCAACAAAGUUCUACAACGGUCAGCAUGUUGUACAAGGAUCCAAAACUCUUGGAGGAGGAGGAUAAGAUAAGGAGGAGGACGACGAGGACAAGGAGGAGUCAAUCUCUCCCAGCAUGCAUUGCGGUAUCCCAAUAACAC
Ylistrum balloti is the source of this 348-nucleotide long non-coding RNA. RefSeq lists it as uncharacterized. The transcript is spliced from 3 exons. The record is from RefSeq and is a predicted model, not a curated record. Lineage: Eukaryota; Metazoa; Mollusca; Bivalvia; Pectinida; Pectinidae.